AGAGUUUGAUCCUGGCUCAGAGUGAACGCUAGCGGCGUGCCUAACACAUGCAAGUCGAACGAGAACGGAUUACAGCUUGCUGUAAUUGUCAGCUAAGUGGCGCACGGGUGAGUAAUAUAUAGUUAAUCUGCCCCAAAGAAGAGAAUAAUUGUUGGAAACGACUUGUAAUGCUCUAUAUGCCUUUAUCACAUAAGUGAGCAAGGGAAAUAUUUAUAGCUUUGGGAUGAGACUGUACGGUAUCAGCUAGUUGGUGAGGUAAUGGCUCACCAAGGCAAUGACAUCUAACUGGUUUGAGAGGAUGAUCAGUCACACUGGAACUGAGACACGGUCCAGACUCCUACGGGAGGCAGCAGUGGGGAAUAUUGCACAAUGGAGGGAACUCUGAUGCAGCAACGCCGCGUGGAGGAUGACACAUUUCGGUGCGUAAACUCCUUUUAUAUGAGAAGAUAAUGACGGUAUCAUAUGAAUAAGCACCGGCUAACUCCGUGCCAGCAGCCGCGGUAAUACGGGGGGUGCAAGCGUUACUCGGAAUCACUGGGCGUAAAGAGCAUGUAGGCUGUAGAUUAAGUUGGAAGUGAAAUCCUAUGGCUCAACCAUAGAACUGCUUCCAAAACUGAUUUGCUAGAGUAUGGGAGAGGUAGAUGGAAUUUCUGGUGUAGGGGUAAAAUCCGUAGAGAUC
This 679-nucleotide ribosomal RNA is filed under the name uncultured bacterium. RNAcentral's name for it is "bacterial SSU rRNA". It matches the Rfam family "Bacterial small subunit ribosomal RNA", at positions 8 to 698 of the family's 1533-position model. The record is from RNAcentral.